Lycium ferocissimum is the source of this 802-nucleotide long non-coding RNA. RefSeq lists it as uncharacterized. The record is from RefSeq and is a predicted model, not a curated record. The transcript is spliced from 3 exons. NCBI's taxonomy places the organism in Eukaryota, Viridiplantae, Streptophyta, Magnoliopsida, Solanales, Solanaceae.
CAUAUCCAUCUUCCUUAUUGUUAUUGUUCAUUUUGCUUAUAUAUCUCUAGUUUCCAUGUGCUGAUCAACAACUGUUGAGAAUAUAAUCAAGUAAACAAAAGCGUGCAUUUCUCUAACAGCUUAAGCUUCUAGAUGAGAUGGUCACCAACUUCAUCAAAAAGCUCUGUAUAUCGAUGCAAAUGUAUCUACUAGUCUUCUAUGCCACCAUUUGAACCUUUUAUGUCCUUAGGCAUAAUAAACAAUUGACUUUGACAGUGUUCUUUUAAUAGCAUUGUCAUGUAUUUGGUGUGAUUAAUGUUUUUCUUUUUUUUGCUUGAUUAAGAAGUUGCAAUGCACGCAGUACCCGAAGUUAUUGCUGAGGUCACGGACUAGUAUUCUGUGCCUGCGCCUGGACCAGUAAACAAGGAAAUGGAUGGAUAAACCACGCGGUGGAAACGCCAGACGAUGGUUGGAGGAGGACGAGCUGAUCCUCCUUGACAUUUUAUAUAAGGGGAAACAUAUGUUCACGUCUGAUAUCAUCCUGGCACAAGAUUGGAGAGACAUUAUCCAUAAGUUUUGGGCUACGUCGAGCAACCGCGAAAGGUAUGAUGAGAAUGCAUCAAACGACAAUAUCAUAGACUUAAAAAGAAUUGGACGGAUUUCAAAGAACUACUCUCGCCAUGCUCGGGAUAUGAACGAGACCAGGAAACUGAUAAAAUUGUUGCUCCUAGUGAUGUUUGGGCAAAUCAUGUGGCAAGAUUCAAUGAUUACAAGAGGUGCGACUAUCAUGGCCUAAAACAUUUUGACAAACUGGAUGAGAUGU